This 484-nucleotide ribosomal RNA is filed under the name uncultured bacterium. RNAcentral describes it as "partial 16S ribosomal RNA". It matches the Rfam family "Bacterial small subunit ribosomal RNA", at positions 30 to 507 of the family's 1533-position model. The record is from RNAcentral.
AUUGAACGCUGGCGGCAGGCCUAACACAUGCAAGUCGAGCGGAUGAAGGGAGCUUGCUCCUGGAUUCAGCGGCGGACGGGUGAGUAAUUCCUAGGAAUCUGCCUGGUAGUGGUGGAUAACGUCCGGAAACGGGCGCUAAUACCGCAUACGUCCUGAGGGAGAAAGUUGGGGUUCUUCGGACCUCACGCUAUCAGAUUAGCCUAGGUGGGAUUAGCUAGUUGGUGGGGUAAAGGCCUACCAAGGCGACGAUCCGUAACUGGUCUGAGAGGAUGAUCAGUCACACUGGAAGUGAGACACGGUAAAGACGCAUACGGGAGGAAGCAGUGGGGAAUAUUGGAAAAUGGGCGAAAGCAUGAUACAGAAAUGCCGCGUGUGUGAAGAAGGACUUCGGAUUGUAAAGCAAUUUAAGUUGGGAGGAAGGGCAGUAAGUUAAUACAUUGAUGUUUUGACGUUACCAACAGAAUAAGGACCGGCUAACUUCGUG